CUCAUCUCCGUCAAACUCCACACAGUCCCGCCACCGUCAAAAUUACUCCGCAAAUGAAUUAUAUGGGCGGUUUGAAUAGCCCAUCAAGAGAAAUUUAAAUGAAUAAAAUGUGCUACUAUCAAAUAAACGGGACCUUAUAUCUGAAAUUUCUUUUCCGAAUUUUGAUCGAAAAAAAUCACUUCUUACAUUCGACAGUACAACGAGAUCAUAAUUGUGCCAAAAAUAUUCGUAUUUCUCAAGACAUUGUCUAUGCUUUCCGUACGCUACGAUUGUUUAUAUUGAUUAUAAACUGUGGCACGUAUAACGUCGGUCUAAAACGUUAAAGGCGAAAAAAAAGAAUUAUCAGUGCAUUCAAUUUUGUGGCGCGUUAUUCAAAAUCUGAUUCACGGCGAAGACGUCGAAUAGAGCUCUAUUCAAACCAAAUAUAUCAACAUACAACAGAAAGCAGUCGGUACUCGUGCGUAUCUCUUUGUUGUUUACGGUGUGUGGAAGAAAUCGAAUUUCGUUCUAUUUUGUAGAAGAUGACGUUGUUUACUGUGUUUAUUCUAUACAUUGCUGUCAUCCGUUUUUGGUUGGCGUUCUAUCAGUUUACUUACGCACAGAUGGUGGGAUGGAGGGUGAUCUGACAAAUCCUCUUUUAAGACCUGCUCAACGAGCUUGCAACGUGUAUUCAAACUUACCAGUAUCAUGAAUUAUGGGCGGCGAAGCGGCCGGAGAAGAACAAUUCCGAUGGAUAUCCAAUUUGUGCGGCUCUGGGCUACAUACAAACAAAAGGCAAUGGAAUCGAUUUUCGCGGUGGUGGUACGAUAAUAUCGCAGAACUUUAUACUAACAGCGACAGGGUGUAUAAAUCCAUCACAUCCCCCUGUUUUGGUUCGAUUGGGUCAACUAUCACUGACUGACAACCUUGUCGAUGGAUAUGACGAUAUAAAUUACCAAGUGAAGUGAUAUUGAUGAUCCAAUGGUAAAAGGUCCCAGUGAUAUUGGCGUUUAUUGUACAUAUGAUCGGGAAGGAAGACAAGACAGUUGCUUUUGAGACAAUGGAGGCCCACUCCAGUACUUUCCAACUAAUCAAUCGGCAACAGCAACCGUUGUUGGCAUUGUACCGUUUUAUUAUAAAUGCGGUGUUCCUUUACCCGGAAUUCACAUCCGAGUUGCUUAUUACUUGAAUUGGAUUGAACCCAUUGUUUGGCCUUCGAGGCCCGCAUACAAAGCUUGCACCAAGUACUCAAAUCUCCCCAUAGAAUGAAAUUUCCUGAAAUCACGAAUCUUAAACGGUGAAGAGGCGGCACCGGGGGAGUUCCCUUCGAUGGUAAUAUAGGUGAUGACGAGGGUUCCUAGGGGUCGGAUGACCCCCCUAAAAUAUUUCUAGGGAUUUUCACCUCAAAAAGUGACUUCCAAAAAAAAAACGAUUUUUGUGUCAUUUUUGGAUUUGCAAGGCAAUUUGAAGUAGGAAAAUUCUUUUGAUUUGCUAGGGAUUUUCGCCAAAAAAGUGACUUCCAAAAAAAAAAACGAUUUUAUCCUUAUUUCGUACAAAAUGUUAACAUCGUCAGGGAUCCCCCAUGGAUUUUUUCAGGAACCCCCUACAGAAUUUUUACGUCAUCAUCUAUGGUGGCUUUAGCAUACAUUCGUAGUAACAAAGUGGUUUAUGACUGCGGCGGAACAAUUAUAUCGGAAUAUUUUGUUAUGACCGC
This is a long non-coding RNA of Contarinia nasturtii (swede midge), 1693 nucleotides long. RefSeq lists it as uncharacterized. The transcript is spliced from 11 exons. The record is from RefSeq and is a predicted model, not a curated record. NCBI's taxonomy places the organism in Eukaryota, Metazoa, Arthropoda, Insecta, Diptera, Cecidomyiidae.